Molecule: ribosomal RNA, 253 nt
Filed under: uncultured bacterium
Lineage: Bacteria
Description: partial 16S ribosomal RNA
Rfam family: Bacterial small subunit ribosomal RNA
Source: RNAcentral
UACGGAGGAUCCAAGCGUUAUCCGGAUUUAUUGGGUUUAAAGGGUGCGUAGGCGGAUUGAUAAGUUAGAGGUGAAAUGUCCGAGCUCAACUCGGGAACUGCCUCUAAUACUGUUGAUCUAGAGAGAAGAUGCGGUAGGCGGAAUGUAUGGUGUAGCGGUGAAAUGCUUAGAGAUCAUACAGAACACCGAUUGCGAAGGCAGCUUACCAAUCUAUAUCUGACGUUGAGGCACGAAAGCGUGGGGAGCAAACAGG